GCAGCAGGACGGUCUGCCGCUCGCCUUCGGGCGGGAGGAAAGUCCGGGCAACACAGGGCACCAUGCCGGCUAAUAUACCGGUAGGCAGCGAUGUUUAGGUAACGUAACAGAGAAUAACCGCCUUCUCUUUUCCGGGAAACCGGAAGAAAGGUAAGGGUGAAAAGGCGAGGUAAGAGCUCACCGCACACGUAGCAAUACGGAGUGGCCGUACGUCCCAUGGGUUGUAAGAUCAUGUAUACUGGCGAUAAGGGCUGCCCGCCCGAUGUCAGGGGGUAGAUUGCUAAAGCCCGUCGGUAACGGCGGGACGAGAUUAAUGGCAGACGCCGUUCUUCCGAGCGGUACAGAACCCGGCUCACAGGCCUGCUGCUUUC
RNAcentral lists this RNase P RNA (371 nucleotides) under Bacteroidales bacterium. RNAcentral describes it as "RNase P RNA component class A". It matches the Rfam family "Bacterial RNase P class A". Rfam says of the family: Ribonuclease P (RNase P) is a ubiquitous endoribonuclease, found in archaea, bacteria and eukarya as well as chloroplasts and mitochondria. Its best characterised activity is the generation of mature 5'-ends of tRNAs by cleaving the 5'-leader elements of precursor-tRNAs. The record is from RNAcentral. Lineage: Bacteria; Pseudomonadati; Bacteroidota; Bacteroidia; Bacteroidales.